Molecule: ribosomal RNA, 454 nt
Filed under: uncultured bacterium
Lineage: Bacteria
Description: SSU rRNA
Rfam family: Bacterial small subunit ribosomal RNA
Source: RNAcentral
AGGAUGAACGCUGGCGGUGUGCCUAAUACAUGCAAGUCGUACGGAAAGGCCCUUCGGGGUACUCGAGUGGCGGACGGCUGAGUAACGCGUGGGAACGUACCCUAAAGUGAGGAAUAACUGCCCGAAAGGGUGGCUAAUGCCGCAUAUGCUCUUCGGAGUAAAGCUUCGGCGCUUUGGGAGCGGCCCGCGUCCGAUUAGCUUGUUGGUAAGGUAAUGGCUUACCAAGGCGACGAUCGGUAGCUGGUCUGAGAGGAUGAUCAGCCAGACUGGGACUGAGAACGGCCCAGACUCCUACGGGAGGCAGCAGUAGGGAAUUUCCACAAUGGGCGAAAGGCCUGAUGGAGCAACACCGCGUGCAGGAAGAAGGUUUUCGGAUCGUAAACUGCUUUUCUCGGGGAAGAGAACGGACGGUACCCGAGGAAUCAGCCCCGGCUAACUACGCGCCAGCAGCCGC